UCAUGGAUGCUUCCUACCCCUCUGCUUCUCUUCUUCCAUCGGCCUUCCUAGUCCCCCGCCCCACCCGAAAGGCAAUUGAAACAAAAGAAAGAAAAAAUAAAGAAAACAGCAUUCUCUCUGGUACUGAAAAUUCCUUAAAUUAUUAUUUCUGUCUUGACCAAAUGAUUAUCUGCAUUAUUUUAACCAAGAAACAUUUGAUUACUC
RNAcentral lists this long non-coding RNA (204 nucleotides) under Elaeis guineensis (African oil palm). Its description in RNAcentral is "long non-coding RNA (EGUI_LNC032642)". Lineage: Eukaryota; Viridiplantae; Streptophyta; Magnoliopsida; Arecales; Arecaceae. The record is from RNAcentral.